Molecule: ribosomal RNA, 329 nt
Filed under: uncultured eukaryote
Lineage: Eukaryota
Description: partial 18S ribosomal RNA
Rfam family: Eukaryotic small subunit ribosomal RNA
Source: RNAcentral
CCCUUAGAUGUUCUGGGCCGCACGCGCGCUACACUGACGGAGGCAGCGAGCGUGUCCUUCGCCGGCAGGUGCGGGCAAUCUUGCGAGUCUCCGUCGUGCUGGGGAUAGAUGGUUGCAAUUGUCGAUCUUGAACGAGGAAUUCCUAGUAAGCGCGAGUCAUCAGCUCGCGCUGAUUACGUCCCUGCCCUUUGUACACACCGCCCGUCGCUACUACGGAGUGCCCGUGUCCAAGAAACGGUCGGACCUGUGCGGCCUCUCCGGGCGACCGGAGGGCCGUUACGGGGAAGACCCUUUAUUUGACGCGGGUCGAUGAAGUAAAAGUCGUAACA